UCCGAGUUGACCCCGGCAGUCUCCCAUGAGUCCCCGCCACCACGCGCUGGCAACAUGGAACAAGGGUUGCGCUCGUUGCGGGACUUAACCCAACAUCUCACGACACGAGCUGACGACAACCAUGCACCACCUGUAAACGGCCCUUACGGACCCCACAUCUCUGCGGGAUUACCGCCUAUGUCAAGCCUUGGUAAGGUUCUUCGCGUUGCGUCGAAUUAAGCCACAUGCUCCGCCGCUUGUGCGGGCCCCCGUCAAUUCCUUUGAGUUUUAGCCUUGCGGCCGUACUCCCCAGGCGGGGCGCUUAAUGCGUUAGCUGCGGCACGGAUCCCAACGAAGGGAACCCACACCUAGCGCCCAACGUUUACGGCGUGGACUAC
RNAcentral lists this unclassified non-coding RNA (377 nucleotides) under uncultured Actinomycetes bacterium. RNAcentral's name for it is "uncultured actinobacterium contains 16S-23S intergenic spacer region". Lineage: Bacteria; Bacillati; Actinomycetota; Actinomycetes. The record is from RNAcentral.